RNAcentral lists this ribosomal RNA (484 nucleotides) under uncultured bacterium. RNAcentral describes it as "partial 16S ribosomal RNA". It matches the Rfam family "Bacterial small subunit ribosomal RNA", at positions 30 to 507 of the family's 1533-position model. The record is from RNAcentral.
AUUGAACGCUGGCGGCAGGCCUAGCACAUGCAAGUCGAGCGGAUGAAGGGAGCUUGCUCCUGGAUUCAGCGGCGGACGGGUGAGUAAUGCCUAGGAAUCUGCCUGGUAGUGGGGGAUAACGUCCGGAAACGGGCGCUAAUACCGCAUACGUCCUGAGGGAGAAAGUGGGGGAUCUUCGGACCUCACGCUAUCAGAUGAGCCUAGGUCGGAUUAGCUAGUUGGUGGGGUAAAGGCCUACCAAGGCGACGAUCCGUAACUGGUCUGAGAGGAUGAUCAGUCACACUGGAACUGAGACACGGUCCAGACUCCUACGGGAGGCAGCAGUGGGGAAUAUUGGACAAUGGGCGAAAGCCUGAUCCAGCUAUGCCGCGUGUGUGAAGAAGGUCUUCGGAUUGUAAAGCACUUUAAGUUGGGAGGAAGGGCAGUAAGUUAAUACCUUGCUGUUUUGACGUUACCAACAGAAUAAGCACCGGCUAACUUCGUG